Small nucleolar RNA from Podarcis muralis (Common wall lizard), 141 nucleotides. Ensembl annotates it as small nucleolar RNA SNORA51. NCBI's taxonomy places the organism in Eukaryota, Metazoa, Chordata, Lepidosauria, Squamata, Lacertidae. The record is from Ensembl.
AGUCUCCCUAUGCUUACCACAGGCAGCGUCACCACACAUGCUGACUGUAUAGAAACGGGAGAUAGAGAAUCGAUAGCCCUGCGUAUACACCACAGCCAGGCCGACUUUCCCCUGAGCUGUAUUGUUAGUACGGGUACAAAA